RNAcentral lists this ribosomal RNA (368 nucleotides) under uncultured organism. Its description in RNAcentral is "bacterial SSU rRNA". It matches the Rfam family "Bacterial small subunit ribosomal RNA", at positions 526 to 896 of the family's 1533-position model. The record is from RNAcentral.
CGUAGGUGGCAAGCGUUGUCCGGAUUUAUUGGGUUUAAAGGGUGCGUAGGCGGCCCUGUAAGUCAGUGCUGAAAUCCCCCGGCUUAACCGGGGUGGUGGCAUUGAUACUGCAGGGCUUGAGUACAGAUGAGGUAGGCGGAAUUGACGGUGUAGCGGUGAAAUGCAUAGAUAUCGUCAAGAACACCGAUAGCGAAGGCAGCUUACUGGGCUGUAACUGACGCUGAUGCACGAAAGUGUGGGGAUCAAACAGGAUUAGAUACCCUGGUAGUCCACACUGUAAACGUUGAUUACUCGCUGUUUGCGAUACACAGCAAGCGGCUUAGCGAAAGCGAUAAGUAAUCCACCUGGGGAGUACGCCGGCAACGGUG